This 455-nucleotide ribosomal RNA is filed under the name uncultured bacterium. RNAcentral describes it as "bacterial SSU rRNA". It matches the Rfam family "Bacterial small subunit ribosomal RNA", at positions 340 to 786 of the family's 1533-position model. The record is from RNAcentral.
UACGGAAGGCAGCAGUGGGGAAUAUUGCACGAUGGGCGCAAGCCUGAUGCAGCCAUGCCGCGUGUAUGAAAAAGGCCUUCGGGUUGUAAAGUACUUUCAGUCGUGAGGAGGUGUUAAGGUUAAUAACCUUAGCAAUUGACGUUAGCGACAGAAGAAGCACCGGCUAACUCCGUGCCAGCAGCCGCGGUAAUACGGAGGGUGCGAGCGUUAAUCGGAAUUACUGGGCGUAAAGGGCACGCAGGCGGUUAAUUAAGUUGGAUGUGAAAUCCCCGGGCUUAACCUGGGAAUGGCAUUCAAGACUGGUUAGCUAGAGUCUUGUAGAGGGGGUAGAAUUCCAUGUGUAGCGGUGAAAUGCGUAGAGAUGUGGAGGAAUACCGGUGGCGGAAGGCGGGCCCCUGGACAAAGACUGACGCUCAUGUGCGAAAGCGUGGGGAGCAAACGAGGGAUUAGAUACC